RNAcentral lists this long non-coding RNA (861 nucleotides) under Marmota monax (woodchuck). Lineage: Eukaryota; Metazoa; Chordata; Mammalia; Rodentia; Sciuridae. The record is from RNAcentral.
UUAAUUAGAACAUCAAUUUCCACCUUUAAUUCUCUCAACACUACUAUGUCCUUUUUAUUGAUAGGAAAACUUAAGUUUUGUAGAAUCACAACUAAUUUCAGUUACAUAGCAAGUAAAUGCCAAAUUAUGAAUUUGAACUCAAACAGUCCUACUCCAGAGCCUCACUCUAGUGUUGUGUUAUCAUUCCAUCCUGAAUUCUGUGGUUUUUCUUUUGCUUAUGAUUUUCCCCUUGCCUGCUCCCAAUUAAGUGAAUGCCUAUAUGCUAACCCAUUUAGCACAUUUCUCUUACAGGGCCUAAUUAAUUAGACUGUAAAACAGUUGUCAAAAUCUGGGUUUCAUUCUUAAGUUGGCCUACCACUUAAUUUACUUUGUGACUUUGGACAAAUUGUUUUCCCAUCUUUAAGAUGAGGCCAAUAUAUACCUUACAGAAUUGUUUUAUGAUGAUAAAAUAUGGUAAUGUGUAAAAGUAUGUAGAGCCUGAAACAUGGCAAACACUUGUGAAUGCUGUAUCCCCUCUUGAGCUGAGAGUACUUUUCUUAGUGCUGCCAAUUAUGAGAGACUGGAGGAUCUUUGGUUAGUUAUUUUUAAAAUUUUUUAAUUUUUUUUGAGAUGUCUCUAAAAUUACAGAACCUGUUAUCCUCAUCUGAUCAGUGUUCUCCUUGCUUGAGUAGGUGUAUAAGGCCUACUUGGGGUAUCCUGGUUUUGUUUUAAGAACGGUUUUAAAGUGAGUAUUUUGUUAUUUCCUGGUGCAGUUGAUUGCUGGAUGAUUUCUCUUUCCACUGUUAUUCAGUGAGGUUGAAGUCAUAAAGGAAAUUUCAUGAUACCUAAAAUAACUUACUAUGGAGUAUCUCAUGCAGUGUG